AUGUCACAACACCAGACAGGGCAGGGCAGUGACUUCACGGCUCCAGUCCCUGCUUCUGAGCACACAAUUCUCUGCAGCCAAGAGGAAUCAAAUGAGAGCAGAGUGCCGAAUUCUCAACAAGCUAGCAGCUGUGUAGCCUUCCGAAAGAAAGAUGCUGCAGUGAUACCAUCAGAGAUCUCUCUAAAGGAAGCGGUGCCAGAGAUAAACCUGAGUCAUGGUUUUCCAUAGAGAAAAAAAACCCUAGACAACUUGGGAUCCGGCAAUCUGGAAACCGAGCAGAGACCGCUCCCGCGGCGAAGGACCACAGGGGCAAUAGAAUAG
This 321-nucleotide long non-coding RNA is filed under the name Capra hircus (goat). Its description in RNAcentral is "lncRNA (ENSCHIG00000002690.1)". Lineage: Eukaryota; Metazoa; Chordata; Mammalia; Artiodactyla; Bovidae. The record is from RNAcentral.